CGAGGGUGCGAGCGUUAAUCGGAAUUACUGGGCGUAAAGCGAGUGUAGGCGGCUAUUUAAGUCGGAUGUGAAAUCCCCGGGCUCAACCUGGGAAUUGCAUUCGAAACUGAAUAGCUAGAGUUUGGUAGAGGUAAGUGGAAUUCCGGGUGUAGCGGUGAAAUGCGUAGAUAUCCGGAGGAACAUCAGUGGCGAAGGCGGCUUACUGGACCAAAACUGACGCUGAGGCUCGAAAGCGUGGGGAGCAAACAGGAUUAGAUACCCGAGUAGUCC
This 270-nucleotide ribosomal RNA is filed under the name uncultured archaeon. Its description in RNAcentral is "partial 16S ribosomal RNA". It matches the Rfam family "Bacterial small subunit ribosomal RNA", at positions 527 to 796 of the family's 1533-position model. The record is from RNAcentral.